Molecule: small nucleolar RNA, 134 nt
Filed under: Drosophila willistoni
Lineage: Eukaryota; Metazoa; Arthropoda; Insecta; Diptera; Drosophilidae
Description: snoRNA:GK26604
Source: RNAcentral
ACGGAGCCAAAGUGGCAUAUUUAGUUUUCAUUCUUACAAUUUGUGUCUCUAAUGCUCCGAGAUGAACUUUAGAUCCGAACGGCAUCCUGUUUAAUCCUUCAUAUUAAAACAGAUGACUUAUGUUUGUGUACAAU